UCGCUACUACCGAUUGAAUGAUUUAGUGAGUUGUAAGGACUGUUGUCUCCGGUUGGGUAACCUUCCAUUGACUUCCAGAAAAUACCGCAAACUUGACCAUUUAGAGGAAGUAAAAGUCGUAA
RNAcentral lists this ribosomal RNA (122 nucleotides) under uncultured eukaryote. Its description in RNAcentral is "partial small subunit ribosomal RNA". It matches the Rfam family "Eukaryotic small subunit ribosomal RNA", at positions 1676 to 1794 of the family's 1831-position model. The record is from RNAcentral.